This 342-nucleotide unclassified non-coding RNA is filed under the name soil metagenome. RNAcentral's name for it is "partial contains 5.8S ribosomal RNA, internal transcribed spacer 2, and large subunit ribosomal RNA". The stretch from base 1 to 119 matches the Rfam family "5.8S ribosomal RNA", at positions 35 to 154 of the family's 154-position model. The record is from RNAcentral.
GAUGAAGAACUAGCGAAAUGCGAUAAGUAAUGUGAAUUGCAGAAUUCAGUGAAUCAUCGAGUUUUUGAACGCAUAUUGCGCCCUCUGGUAUUCCGGGGGGCAUGCCUGUUCGAGCGUCAUUAAAUAACCCUCAAGCAUAGCUUGGUGUUGGGCUUUUUUACGUCCUUGACUGGGAUGGGCCUAAAAAUUAGUGGCGAUGGCUUUUUUACUUUCAAGCGUAGUAAAUCUCGUCUUGCUAAAGAGGAAAAAGAUUUUUUUUCUGCCAAAAAUUUUAACAUUUAAAGUUGACCUCGGAUCAGGUAGGAUUACCCGCUGAACUUAAGCAUAUCAAUAAGCGGAGGA